RNAcentral lists this ribosomal RNA (301 nucleotides) under uncultured bacterium. RNAcentral's name for it is "partial 16S ribosomal RNA". It matches the Rfam family "Bacterial small subunit ribosomal RNA", at positions 509 to 808 of the family's 1533-position model. The record is from RNAcentral.
CAGCCGCCGCGGUAAUACGUAGGUCCCGAGCGUUGUCCGGAUUUAUUGGGCGUAAAGCGAGCGCAGGCGGUUAGAUAAGUCUGAAGUUAAAGGCUGUGGCUUAACCAUAGUACGCUUUGGAAACUGUUUAACUUGAGUGCAAGAGGGGGGAGUGGAAUUCCAUGUGUAGCGGUGAAAUGCGUAGAUAUAUGGAGGAACACCGGUGGCGAAAGCGGCUCUCUGGCUUGUAACUGACGCUGAGGCUCGAAAGCGUGGGGAGCAAACAGGAUUAGAUACCCCCGUAGUCCCUGUCUCUUAUACA